GAGGAUCUCCUCCUCCGGGCUGGCAGGCUGGUCCUUGCAGAGCUCAGGUUGGGCAGCAGCCAGAAUAAGGUUAUGGCAAGGCAUAGGUAUUUGAUAAAUUGGUGUUUUGUGCCUCCUGCACUGUGGGCAACUUCCUGACGGACAACUGCUGACUUUCUAGACUUUGAAGCUAAAAGAUAUGUAGGAGACAGAGGUCUCGUGGUUUUGGCUAAUAAAAGUCUUCCCUAGCUAACUGAUCACAGAUCAGUAAGCGUCCGGCUUUGCUGUGAAAAUGUCUCCCUCACUUCUGGUUUGUCUCACCAAUAACUGAUUAGUCAUUAGUUGAACUGUCUAAUGACUUAAAACAAUCUAACAACGCAAGAUGUUCUCCAUUGUGCAUACCUAUAUUCUGCCUCUAAAGACUUCCUGAAGAAAGAAGUCAUGCAAACCAGAAAGCAAGGUGUGUACACCUUGCAACUUAAAUUGGGUCAGAGAGCAGACCCCAAGGGUGGAAGGAAGAAAACAUCUGCCUUUCUCACAGGAGAACUCCAGCCGCAGUGACUGGUACCAGGCCAGGCCAAUUGUCAAGGUCAGCGCUGGGAAGAAGCUGUUUACUUUGGUCUUCUCCCUGGCUUCUUGGUUUGGUUCUUAAGCAUUCAUUUCCUAUUUUGAAGUUGAGAUGAUGGGUUGAGGUAAAUAAACUGAAAAGCCACA
Molecule: long non-coding RNA, 693 nt
Filed under: Mus musculus (house mouse)
Lineage: Eukaryota; Metazoa; Chordata; Mammalia; Rodentia; Muridae
Description: RIKEN cDNA 4930471G24 gene (4930471G24Rik)
Source: RNAcentral